UACAGCCAGAGCAUGUUUAAACACCGGUUCCCGUACAAUCAUCGAAGUUAAGCAACAUCAAGCCUAGUUUGUACCUAAAUGGGUGAUGGCUUAGGAAUACCAGAUG
Acanthosepion pharaonis is the source of this 106-nucleotide non-coding RNA. The record is from the annotation of a GenBank genome assembly. Lineage: Eukaryota; Metazoa; Mollusca; Cephalopoda; Sepiida; Sepiidae.